This 2132-nucleotide ribosomal RNA is filed under the name Paramoeba perurans. RNAcentral describes it as "SSU rRNA". It matches the Rfam family "Eukaryotic small subunit ribosomal RNA". The record is from RNAcentral. Lineage: Eukaryota; Discosea; Flabellinia; Dactylopodida; Paramoebidae.
ACCUGGUUGAUCCUGCCAGUAGUCAUAUGCUUGUCUUAAAGAUUAAGCCAUGCAUGUCUAAGUAUAAACACUUUGUACUUGUGAAACUGCAAAUGGCUCAUUAAAUCAGUUAUAAUUUAUUUGAUGGUCUCUUUACUACUUGGAUAACCGUGGUAAAUCUAGAGCUAAUACAUGCAUAAAAUCUUGACUGGUUCUUUCAGGAGCUGGGAGGGAUGUAUUUAUUAGAUUCAAAAGCCAAUGCCAUUCUUUUCGGAGAAUGGAAAUUUAACAUAUGGUGAAUCAUGAUAACUUUACAAAUCGCAUGGUCUUUUGUGCCGGCGAUAGUUCAUUCAAAUAUCUGCCCUAUCAACUUUCGAUGGUAGUAUAGAGGACUACCAUGGUGUUAACGGGUAACGGAGAAUCAGGGUUUGAUUCCGGAGAAGGAGCCUGAGAAACGGCUACUACUUCCAAGGAAGGCAGCAGGCGCGCAAAUUACCCAAUCCCGACACGGGGAGGUAGUGACAAAAAAUAACAAUACCGGUCUUAUUUAAGUCUGGUAAUUGGGAAUGAGUACAAUCUAAAUCCUUUAACGAGUAUCAAUUGGAGGGCAAGUCUGGUGCCAGCAGCCGCGGUAAUUCCAGCUCCAAUAGCAUAUAUUAAAGUUGUUGCAGUUAAAAAGCUCGUAGUUGGAUUUUGAAGUUUACAUAUUAUGACCCGCUUUGUAUUAAGUGUGACUUUUGUUGUGAUAUGUACUUCUCCUUACUAGACUUUCACUAUUACACUUUAUUGAGUGAUAGUUUCAUUUUAAUUUAUUAGAAUGAGUGAUAAGCAGACCUAUUGGGUUUAAGAUUGUGGAGGUUCUUUUUCGAAAGUUCGUUCUGCUUAGAUUCAGUAACUGUUUAUUAGAAAUCUAGUUCAUUUACUUUGAGUAAAUUAGAGUGUUCAAGGCAAGCAAAAUAUUAAUUUUCUGCAAUGAAUACUAUUAGCAUGGGAUAAUGGAACAGGACAUGUAUUCUAGUUUUCCGUUGGUUUCUAGAAUUUUUUAAAGUCUUUCUUUUUUUGGGAAAGAUGAAGUGUAAUGAUUAAAAGGGACAGUUGGGGGCAUUUGUAUUUCAUUGUCAGAGGUGAAAUUCUUGGAUUUAUGAAAGACGAACUUCUGCGAAAGCAUUUGCCAAAGAUGUUUUCAUUAAUCAAGAACGAAAGUUAGGGGAUCGAAGACGAUCAGAUACCGUCGUAGUCUUAACCAUAAACUAUGCCGACCAGGGAUUGGAAGAUGUCUUAUCCUGUGUAACAGCAGGAAAACUCCUUCAGUACCUUACGAGAAAUCAUAAGUCUUUGGGUUCUGGGGGGAGUAUGGUCGCAAGGCUGAAACUUAAAGGAAUUGACGGAAGGGCACCACCAGGAGUGGAGCCUGCGGCUUAAUUUGACUCAACACGGGAAAACUUACCAGGUCCAGACACAGUUAGGAUUGACAGAUUGAGAGUUCUUUCUUGAUUCUGUGGGUGGUGGUGCAUGGCCGUUCUUAGUUGGUGGAGUGAUUUGUCUGGUUAAUUUCGAUAACGAACGAGACCUCAGCUUAUUAAUUAGUUAUGCAAAUGAUUACAUCCAUUUGAUUGGGAAGGGUUUCUAGUGUAAGCUUGGGGUUUGACUCUGAGAUUGAUUAGAAAAACUUGUUUUUAUUUGUUAGAAUUUGAUUUAUUAAAUUCGUUAAUAACUUCUUAGAGGGACACUUGGUGUUUAACCAAGGGAAGUCUGAGGCAAUAACAGGUCUGUGAUGCCCUUUAGAUGUUCUGGGCUGCACGUGCGCUACACUGAUACGAACAACGAGUGCUGAAGCCCUCAUUCGAAAGGAUGGGGUAAACUUAUGAAAUCGUAUCGUGCUGGGGAUCGAUAAUUGCAAUUAUUUAUCGUGAACGAGGAAUUCCUAGUAAGCGCAAGUCAACAGCUUGCGCUGAUUACGUCCCUGCCCUUUGUACACACCGCCCGUCGCUCCUACCGAUGUUUGGUCCGGUGAAAUCUUAGGAUUCGUAGCAUACACUUAUUAUCACUUUCGGGUGAAAAUGAGUUUGUUGUGGAGAAUUUGAGUAAACCUUGCCAAAUAGAGGAAGGAGAAGUCGUAACAAGGUAUCCGUAGGUGAACCUGCGGAAGAAUC